GAUGAACGCUGGCGGUGUGCCUAAUACAUGCAAGUCGAGCGAACAGACGAGGAGCUUGCUCCUCUAACGUUAGCGGCUGACGGGUGAGUAACACGUGGAUAACCUACUUCUAAUACUGGGAUAACUUCGGGAAACCGGAGCUAAUACCGGAUAAUAUGUUGAACCGCAUGGUUCAAUAGUGAAAGACGGUCUUGCUGUCACAUAUAGAUGGACCCGCGUCGCAUUAGCUAGGUGGUAAGGGAACGGCUUACCAAGGCAACGAUGCGUAGCCGACCUGAUAGGGUGAUAGGCCACACUGGAACUAGACCCCGGCCCAGACCCCUACGGGAGGCAGCAGUGGGGAAUCUUCCGCAAGGGGCCAAACCCUGACGGGGCAAAGCCGCGGGGGUAAGGAGGGUCUUCGGUUCGUAAACCUCUGUUAUUAGGAAAGAACAAAUGUGUAAGUAACCCUGCAGGUCUGGACGGUACCUAAUCAGAAAGCCACGGCUAACUACGU
RNAcentral lists this ribosomal RNA (496 nucleotides) under uncultured bacterium. RNAcentral describes it as "partial 16S ribosomal RNA". It matches the Rfam family "Bacterial small subunit ribosomal RNA", at positions 28 to 506 of the family's 1533-position model. The record is from RNAcentral.